CAGAGGUAUUACUAUUCCUCCCUCCCUCCAACUUUGAUCGUCCGUCUUAUUUGAAUUUUUUUCAUAACUAGUAUUUUUAUUAUUAUUAGAUAUAAAACAUGAAUAGUACUUUAUGACAGACUUAUGUUUUUUCAAAAAAAAAUCAAAUAAGAUGAACGAUUAAAAUUGGAUAAGGAAACUUAUGGCUGCGCUUAUU
Molecule: non-coding RNA, 196 nt
Organism: Oryza meridionalis
Lineage: Eukaryota; Viridiplantae; Streptophyta; Magnoliopsida; Poales; Poaceae
Source: Rfam